Molecule: long non-coding RNA, 704 nt
Organism: Belonocnema kinseyi
Lineage: Eukaryota; Metazoa; Arthropoda; Insecta; Hymenoptera; Cynipidae
Exons: 3
Source: RefSeq, a predicted model, not a curated record
UUGAAUGGUGGAGUCGAACUUCUGCUGUUCUUAUUCAAUCUUUAAAAGUGACACCUUCCAGGAAGAAGGGGGCCCGGCGUCAAAUUGAGACCGUCGCUGAGUAUUUAGAUGAAUUCAAGGUGCUGAGACAGUCGUGGGGUUAUUCUCUUAUGACACCGUUAGGACGCUACAUCUAAACCCAGCAUUAUUUGGUCCCAUAAAUGUUGGAAGGUGUAAAACGUCUGUUGUGGACACUCAGAGCGGUUUUCUGCUGCAUGUGAAUGUUACGAGCUCGCUGGUAGCUGAAGUCGAUCGAUUCAGAGAAAAACUAUCUGCUGUCAAGAAAACCCUCCAGCCGUUUCCCAUCGUAGUGGGUAGCCAUUUAAAUGAUAUUACAGACUCUUAUGUUUACCUGGACAACUUCUACUAUCGAGUUGAUAGUCCACUAAGAGCCGUUGAUGUUUGCUUCAAGGCAUAUCAUGCUCUUAAUGCAUUUUACCCACAUCAAAGUGUGCAUCCAUGGCUGUUCCUGCAGAAGGCGGUGUAUGGAUUGGUGACUCAGUGGGACCCUGAAGUGCCAUGUGUGGGGACUAGGGUAAAGGAAUACCAAGAUCUCGAGUUUAAAGUCUAACGUCAACGAUGACACACGUUCCGUUUUGUGGUGACGAUUGUGAUAUAAUUGUGCAACUAGUGGUAUUUUUUAACCUUUAAAUUAAUUUAUCAUU